Phragmites australis (common reed) is the source of this 2014-nucleotide long non-coding RNA. RefSeq lists it as uncharacterized. The transcript has 4 exons. The record is from RefSeq and is a predicted model, not a curated record. Lineage: Eukaryota; Viridiplantae; Streptophyta; Magnoliopsida; Poales; Poaceae.
GUUCUAGGCUUUAGACUGGUCAUCGAUGCUACAGAAAACUGCCUCUUGUCUUUUGGAUCAACUGUUCGAUAAGCAUACUUUUUGAUCACCUGGGUCUUUUCGAUACCAUUAGGAUGAGCUAUUGGUUUUGAUUGGGUAGUUCAGUUUUGUAGUAUGGUGUACCCAUUAGUUGUUGCUUGAACUUUGGAUUAAGUUAUGAUACUUCAGAAGCAAACAUAUGUUCAAUAUAGUACCUGCUGAUAGACUAACACCAGAGGCAUUUCUUAUGCCACUUGCCAAUUGAUUCCUUAGCUAGUGCAAUUGCUGAACGUUUUUGUUUUUGCCAAGCUUAUUACUUCAUUUCUGAACCAAUUGUGCAUUUAUACUAUAUCUAAAUUUGUCCUAUCUAUAAAUGUUAGAUAAUGGGCUCUAGAAAUGAGAUUAUGGAAUGGAAUCUAGGAAGGAGAAAAUCAAGAACUUCAUGCAAAUGGAAGAAGAAGAUGAACUAUUUUUUUGUAAUCAUUCAUGGAACUUCAGUUAUGAGAAAGGUCUUGCAGAUAUCCUUCAUGAGCACAAUCAUGAAAAGUUCAGAGGCCAAAAUGGAUGGCUAGCUGAAGGAUGGAAAAGCAUUGUCAAGAUGUUCGAUGAGAAAUUUCCAUCAGCUGGAUUUACAAAACAGCAUAUACAAGAAAAGAAAAAAGAACUCAAAGGAAACUACAAGGCAAUUCGUGAUGCAAGGAAGCAAAGUGGUACAUGAUGGAAUGACUCUUUGUGCAUGAUCAAUGCUGAACCACAAAUAUGGGAAAAACUUAUCAAUGACUUUCCAAAGGUGAGAAAAUUUUGCUCAAAGCCUUUCCAUCUGUUCGACAACUUGGAAAGAUUGUAUGAAGGGCCUCAAUUAGAUAUCCUCUGAACUCUAAGCAUUUUCACUUUAUGAAACAUGAAGUAUUGCUAAAGGAGAUUUGAAUUUCACAUCAACUGAGCCAACUAAACAACCACCAUCUUCAAGAACUGAACAUGUCAUCCCUAUUGACAAUGAUGCUUCUGUUGUUGACCUGAACCCUUUCUUUGCAAAUCUAGAUGGGCAAGAGGAAUCAAAUAGUCACUGAACAAACAGCUUCUGCUUGUUCUGGAUAGAAAGUAGAUGUCCCUGGGAAAAAGAGGAAGCAAAGUCAGGUUGCCGGAGUUCUACAAGACUACCUGGAUUUCAGGAAGAAGCAAACUAAAAUUGUUGUGGAUGAACUCGAUGAAACAAAAAGGUUAAAUGACAAUUAUUCCAUCAAGAACUGUCUUGCUGUUCUGGAAUCAAUUGAAGAACUUUCAGAUGAGAAAAUGGCAAAAGCAACCCAAGGGUGAGCUGAACAAAUAUCUUCAAGUGUGAGCUGAAAUUAGAAAUUUUCAUCAACUUCAAGAACCCAAGGGUUCAUUUACUGUGGGUUAAGGGUGAGAUUGGUCCUAAGGUAUGCACUUUGAUCUUAUCAUUAUCAUUGGCACUUGCUGGAAGGCAUGAUUGAAUUCAAAAUUCGGAAUAUAUAUACAGAGCUGUAAGAUGGCAUCCUUUUCCCUUGUCUUGAGUAAUAAUAAUCUUGUGGUUCUUGUGCAAGGAGACAUUUGUGGCCUGUGAGAUCCCCACCUUCAUGAAUCAGCCUUGUCUAUAUGUUGUCCAGAUGUCUAGACCAUCAAUUAUUGUCAAGCUCACUUUGGGGUUGCUCCGGUGCAUCAUCCACUUGGCAAUCAACAUUUUUUAAUUGAGUAAAUUUCGUAAAACUGCAUAUACUUUGAUAAAAUGAUUGCAAAACCACAAAUUUAAAUAAUAGUUUUACAAAACUACAAAUUUACUGUUGAUUUUAUCGCAAACUACAUAUAGUUUGGUAAAAUUAUCGCAAAACUGUAAAUUUAAGCAAUAAUUUCACAAAACUAUAGGUUUAGCGUCGAUUUUAUCGCAAAACUAUAUAUUCUAGAGGAGCUAUUUUCAGCUCUGUUAUCAUGAUGACCGGGCCUUGCUUGCAAUCUCACAACAGCUGUCAGCUCAUGA